GUGUGUGUGUGUGUGUGUGUGUGAUCUGUCAAAUAUACAUUGUAUAUGACUCGUUCUGUAUAUCCUAUAACUUAUUGCAACAACAUACGAUAUUAAAUGAAAAUUUAUAUGUAACCUGAAUUUUUCCUCGCUAUAAAUAAUUUGAUGUCAGAAAAAUUCCGCUGCCAAAUAUAGGAUAUUAUAAAAGCUUACACUUAUGUAAUCUUUUAUACUGUACGUCGAAAAUGCAAUUUCCAAAGAUUAACGUAAGACGGGACGGGACAAUUUUAAUUUUGAUGUAGCCUCACUGCUCCGAGUGAUUUUCACGACUCGCUGGCACCGCUCUAGGAGGUCGCCCGCCCCCUCCGCGGUCCAUGCCCGUAUCUGUUCUUCUUGUCCUGUGGAUUUACAGAGAAUUCCUUAUUUGGCACUGAUUUCUUCGGAAACGCAAGCUUAUUUAAAACAAAAAAACCGGGACAAUUUCAUAAAUUUCACCGCGGAAAUCUCGCCGAAUCUCGCAAGAGUAAUUUUCAAUCAACAAUGUCGGAUCGCGCUGCGGGAGACGUUCGGAGCAGCGUGGCGGUCUCGGAAGGAAAAGGAAAAAGAAACGGAUCAAGAGAAAAAGAAGGAAAAAAACGGGAGAGAGAGAGAGAGAAGAAGAAGGAGAUGCCACGACGAUGAUCAUGAGACUUCCUUGUGAGACCUUCCUCCUUUCACCGCGGCCAAAAUACAUCUAUCUGGUUACAUACACGCUUAUGGGCGUUGUUCUCUAACUUGUGGCGGCGAUGGACCAACUGCGGCACAAGCAACGUUCCUCGUUUCGGAGGGUAAGGAAGGGAGACAGGUAGGACCGGUUAUUCAUGACGCAAUUUGAACUAUCAUUUGGGUCAUCGAGAUUAAAAGCAGCUCAAUCUGUUUACUGACUUCGUAGUAAUCAAAUUCCUCCUCUCAGCAAUCAUCCGAAUGUUUAUACGACGAUCUCCGCGCACAAUUUCAUUGAUUUUAGUCACCGUUUGCGGAGUUAAAACAGAGACAGGUUAACCUGGACGUUGGUCAUCUUCGAUGCUCUCUCGGCCUUCAGAAAACCGUUUAUACCAUUCGAAAACACGCGCACGAGAUAGAGAAUUCUCACUAUAGGCCUCUUUCAACAACUUAUAGCACUCAGUCGGAGUUUUUUUUAAUUUAACAAGAAAUUUCACAUUGAUCCGUUGCUCCUGUUUUUCGUCACACAUUGUUAUCGACACAAGAAAAAAAUACGUUUGUUUCUAACCUUUAUUGAAAAAAUACUACUACAGCGGCAAAAACGUGUUUUUAUACUGGAACUAGGUCAGUAGACACUGACCUAGUUUACGCCGAACACUUGACACGCAUACUAACAAGUAACUUUCUAUUAAAUUGUCUUAAUUUCGACAAUACAUGGAAUGGAAAAAAUGGAAUUUAUGACAUAAAGUAACAGUCCCAAGAAUUGAAGCUGUAUUGCCGUGCGUAAUGACAUAAUUUUAAUUUAAUAAGAUUUUUUUCAAAAAAAAAUAAAGAAAAAAAUAAAUAAGUCUAAAUAAUAUAUAAUGCAGACGUUAUAACUAUUUUUUAUUUUAUAGUUAUAUGUUAGAAAUAUGUUAUUUAUGUAGUACCAAAUAAUUGGUCAAUAAAAAUUGACAUUAUCUAGCUUUUGGUGAAA
Solenopsis invicta (red fire ant) is the source of this 1657-nucleotide long non-coding RNA. RefSeq lists it as uncharacterized. The transcript has 2 exons. NCBI's taxonomy places the organism in Eukaryota, Metazoa, Arthropoda, Insecta, Hymenoptera, Formicidae. The record is from RefSeq and is a predicted model, not a curated record.